This 2902-nucleotide ribosomal RNA is filed under the name Enterobacter sp. BIDMC 29. Its description in RNAcentral is "bacterial LSU rRNA". It matches the Rfam family "Bacterial large subunit ribosomal RNA". The record is from RNAcentral. Lineage: Bacteria; Pseudomonadati; Pseudomonadota; Gammaproteobacteria; Enterobacterales; Enterobacteriaceae.
UUAAGCGACUAAGCGUACACGGUGGAUGCCCUGGCAGUCAGAGGCGAUGAAGGACGUGCUAAUCUGCGAAAAGCGCCGGCGAGGUGAUAUGAACCUUUGACCCGGCGAUGUCCGAAUGGGGAAACCCAGUGCAAUUCGUUGCACUAUCGUUAACUGAAUACAUAGGUUAACGAGGCGAACCGGGGGAACUGAAACAUCUAAGUACCCCGAGGAAAAGAAAUCAACCGAGAUUCCCCCAGUAGCGGCGAGCGAACGGGGAGCAGCCCGGAGUCUGAAUCAGCUUGUGUGUUAGUGGAAGCGUCUGGAAAGUCGCACGGUACAGGGUGACAGUCCCGUACACGAAAAUACACAGGUUGUGAACUCGAAGAGUAGGGCGGGACACGUGGUAUCCUGUCUGAAUAUGGGGGGACCAUCCUCCAAGGCUAAAUACUCCUGACUGACCGAUAGUGAACCAGUACCGUGAGGGAAAGGCGAAAAGAACCCCGGCGAGGGGAGUGAAAAAGAACCUGAAACCGUGUACGUACAAGCAGUGGGAGCACCUUCGGGUGUGACUGCGUACCUUUUGUAUAAUGGGUCAGCGACUUAUAUUCUGUAGCAAGGUUAACCGUAUAGGGGAGCCGCAGGGAAACCGAGUCUUAACUGGGCGUUAAGUUGCAGGGUAUAGACCCGAAACCCGGUGAUCUAGCCAUGGGCAGGUUGAAGGUUGGGUAACACUAACUGGAGGACCGAACCGACUAAUGUUGAAAAAUUAGCGGAUGACCUGUGGCUGGGGGUGAAAGGCCAAUCAAACCGGGAGAUAGCUGGUUCUCCCCGAAAGCUAUUUAGGUAGCGCCUCGUGAACUCAUCUUCGGGGGUAGAGCACUGUUUCGGCUAGGGGGCCAUCCCGGCUUACCAACCCGAUGCAAACUACGAAUACCGAAGAAUGUUAUCACGGGAGACACACGGCGGGUGCUAACGUCCGUCGUGAAGAGGGAAACAACCCAGACCGCCAGCUAAGGUCCCAAAGUCAUGGUUAAGUGGGAAACGAUGUGGGAAGGCACAGACAGCCAGGAUGUUGGCUUAGAAGCAGCCAUCAUUUAAAGAAAGCGUAAUAGCUCACUGGUCGAGUCGGCCUGCGCGGAAGAUGUAACGGGGCUAAACCAUGCACCGAAGCUGCGGCAGCGACGCUUAUGUGUUGUUGGGUAGGGGAGCGUUCUGUAAGCCGUCGAAGGUGUGCUGUGAGGCAUGCUUGAGGUAUCAGAAGUGCGAAUGCUGACAUAAGUAACGAUAAAGCGGGUGAAAAGCCCGCUCGCCGGAAGACCAAGGGUUCCUGUCCAACGUUAAUCGGGGCAGGGUGAGUCGACCCCUAAGGCGAGGCCGAAAGGCGUAGUCGAUGGGAAACAGGUUAAUAUUCCUGUACUUGGUGUUACUGCGAAGGGGGGACGGAGAAGGCUAUGUCAGCCGGGCGACGGUUGUCCCGGUUUAAGCGUGUAGGUGUGUGUUCCAGGCAAAUCCGGUUCACUUUAACACUGAGGCGUGAUGACGAGGCACUACGGUGCUGAAGUGAUAAAUGCCCUGCUUCCAGGAAAAGCCUCUAAGCAUCAGGUAACACGAAAUCGUACCCCAAACCGACACAGGUGGUCAGGUAGAGAAUACCAAGGCGCUUGAGAGAACUCGGGUGAAGGAACUAGGCAAAAUGGUGCCGUAACUUCGGGAGAAGGCACGCUGAUAUGUAGGUGAAGUCCCUGCGGACGGAGCUGAAAUCAGUCGAAGAUACCAGCUGGCUGCAACUGUUUAUUAAAAACACAGCACUGUGCAAACACGAAAGUGGACGUAUACGGUGUGACGCCUGCCCGGUGCCGGAAGGUUAAUUGAUGGGGUUAGCGGCAACGCGAAGCUCUUGAUCGAAGCCCCGGUAAACGGCGGCCGUAACUAUAACGGUCCUAAGGUAGCGAAAUUCCUUGUCGGGUAAGUUCCGACCUGCACGAAUGGCGUAAUGAUGGCCAGGCUGUCUCCACCCGAGACUCAGUGAAAUUGAACUCGCUGUGAAGAUGCAGUGUACCCGCGGCAAGACGGAAAGACCCCGUGAACCUUUACUAUAGCUUGACACUGAACACUGGUCCUUGAUGUGUAGGAUAGGUGGGAGGCUUUGAAGCGUGGACGCCAGUCUGCGUGGAGCCGUCCUUGAAAUACCACCCUUUAAUGGCUGGUGUUCUAACGUGGACCCGUGAUCCGGGUUGCGGACAGUGUCUGGUGGGUAGUUUGACUGGGGCGGUCUCCUCCCAAAGAGUAACGGAGGAGCACGAAGGUUAGCUAAUCCUGGUCGGACAUCAGGAGGUUAGUGCAAUGGCAUAAGCUAGCUUGACUGCGAGAGUGACGGCUCGAGCAGGUGCGAAAGCAGGUCAUAGUGAUCCGGUGGUUCUGAAUGGAAGGGCCAUCGCUCAACGGAUAAAAGGUACUCCGGGGAUAACAGGCUGAUACCGCCCAAGAGUUCAUAUCGACGGCGGUGUUUGGCACCUCGAUGUCGGCUCAUCACAUCCUGGGGCUGAAGUAGGUCCCAAGGGUAUGGCUGUUCGCCAUUUAAAGUGGUACGCGAGCUGGGUUUAGAACGUCGUGAGACAGUUCGGUCCCUAUCUGCCGUGGGCGCUGGAGAAUUGAGGGGGGCUGCUCCUAGUACGAGAGGACCGGAGUGGACGCAUCACUGGUGUUCGGGUUGUCAUGCCAAUGGCACUGCCCGGUAGCUAAAUGCGGAAGAGAUAAGUGCUGAAAGCAUCUAAGCACGAAACUUGCCCCGAGAUGAGUUCUCCCUGAGACUUUAAGUCUCCUGAAGGAACGUUGAAGACGACGACGUUGAUAGGCCGGGUGUGUAAGCGCAGCGAUGCGUUGAGCUAACCGGUACUAAUGAACCGUGAGGCUUAACCUU